This 323-nucleotide ribosomal RNA is filed under the name Cercomonas sp. RNAcentral describes it as "SSU rRNA". The stretch from base 57 to 323 matches the Rfam family "Eukaryotic small subunit ribosomal RNA", at positions 688 to 955 of the family's 1831-position model. Lineage: Eukaryota; Cercozoa; Cercomonadida; Cercomonadidae. RNAcentral also lists the same sequence under 2 other names. The record is from RNAcentral.
GAUUUCUGGUACGGCGCGCCUGGCCCGCCCCGGUUACGGGGUUGUGUGCCGACGUGCGCCUGCCAUCCUUCUAGAGAUUGGUUCUGCCCUUUACUGGGUGGGAAUCAGUAUCUAGAUCUUUUACUUUGAAAAAAUUAGAGUGUUUAAAGCAGGCAUUUGCUAUGAAUACAUUAGCAUGGAAUAAUAAUUUAGGACUUUGGUCUCUAUUUUGUUGGUUUCUAGGACUAAAGUAAUGAUUGAUAGGGAUAGUUGGGGGUGCUAGUAUUCAGCGGCCAGAGGUGAAAUUCUUGGAUUCGCUGAAGACUAACUUAUGCGAAAGCAUU